Molecule: long non-coding RNA, 381 nt
Filed under: Canis lupus familiaris (dog)
Lineage: Eukaryota; Metazoa; Chordata; Mammalia; Carnivora; Canidae
Description: lncRNA (ENSCAFG00805023125.1, ENSCAFG00845015473.1)
Source: RNAcentral
GGCAGUUGGAGGCACCUGUGCUCCGGAUUUGCUCACAGCACCCAAACUAUUCCACUCUCCCUAGUACACCAGUGUAUAAAGCCCCGCAGGAACACUCACCUGAAGCCAUCCAUAGCCAUCUUCGCGUCAUCCCUGAGUUGGGACACGUCACCCCAAGUAUCAGCACCAGGCAAGAGGACCUAGAGACCCUGCUAGCCUUGGAAAGGGCUGAUAUCAUAGCCGAAUACCAUCAGCUGAGGCCCAGACAAGUACCAUAGAUGCUAGAGAACCCACUAGAGGUGGGGACCCCUCCUGCAAGGGCAGGUGAAUCCCAGGAAUGGAUCAGAGGCAAGCAUGACAGGUCAGUCCAUUGAAGAACCAUAGUCACCAGGAACAUAUGAG